UUUCCGUAGGUGAACCUGCGGAAGGAUCAUUAUUGUAUAACCGAGGUGCGAGGGCUGUCGCUGACCCGAAAGGUCGUGCACGCCAGAGGACCUAAAACCCUGAAUGUUAGUGUCGUCUGAGUACUAUAUAAUAGUUAAAACUUUCAACAACGGAUCUCUUGGUUCUG
This 167-nucleotide unclassified non-coding RNA is filed under the name plant metagenome. RNAcentral's name for it is "partial contains small subunit ribosomal RNA, internal transcribed spacer 1, and 5.8S ribosomal RNA". The record is from RNAcentral.